This 497-nucleotide ribosomal RNA is filed under the name uncultured bacterium. RNAcentral describes it as "partial 16S ribosomal RNA". It matches the Rfam family "Bacterial small subunit ribosomal RNA", at positions 28 to 507 of the family's 1533-position model. The record is from RNAcentral.
GAUGAACGCUGGCGGCGUGCCUAAUACAUGCAAGUCGAGCGAACGGACGAGAAGCUUGCUUCUCUGAUGUUAGCGGCGGACGGGUGAGUAACACGUGGAUAACCUCCCUAUAAUACUGGGAUAACUUCGGGACACCGUAGCUAAUACCGGAUAAUAUUUUGAACCGCAUGGUUCAAAAGUGAAAGACGGUCUUGCUGUCACUUAUAGCUGGAUCCGCGCUGCAGUAGCUAGUUGGUAAGGUAACGGCUUACCAAGGCAACGAUGCAUAGCCGACCUGAGAGGGUGAUCGGCGACACUGGAACUGAGACACGGUCCAGACUACUACGGGAGGCAGCAGUAGGGAAUCUUCCGCAAUGGGCGAAAGCCUGACGGAGCGACGCGGCGUGAGUGAUGAAGGUCUUCGGAGCGUAAAACUCGGUUAUUAGGGAAGAACAUAUGUGUAAGUAACUGUGCACAUCGUGACGGUACCUAAUCAGAAAGCCACGGCUAACUACGUG